GCGCAUGCCGAGAUCGAAGCAAUGGUGGGGACCUCCCGCCUGAUGGCGUCCGCGGACCUGCCCCGGCUCACCUACCUUCAGUGCAUCAUCAGUGAGACUCUCCGCCUCUACCCGCCCGCGCCGCUGCUGCUGCCGCACCAGUCGUCCGCGGAGUGCACGGUGGGUGGCUACAAAGUGCCGGGCGAGACGAUGCUGCUGGUGAACGCGUACGCCAUCCACAGGGACCCGGCCAUGUGGGAGCACCCCGCCGAGUUCAGGCCAGAUAGUUUUGAGAACGGCAAGGCCGAAGGGCUGCUCCUGAUACCCUUCGGGAUGGGCAGGCGCAAGUGUCCUGGCGAGGCAAUGGCUUUGCGGACCAUAGGGCUGGUUCUAGGGGCGCUGAUACAAUGCUUCCACUGGGAGCAAGUUGAUGGCGUGGAGGUGGACAUGACGGAGGGAGCAAUUGGGUUUGUCAGCCCCAAGGCCGUGCCGUUUGAGGCCGUGUGCCGGCCGCGUGCAUCUAUGUGUCACCUGCUUCACGAGCUGUCAAACUUGUUAUCGUAUUCAUUUAGGUCGAUAAUAAGGUGA
This 567-nucleotide ribosomal RNA is filed under the name Triticum aestivum (bread wheat). RNAcentral describes it as "partial small subunit ribosomal RNA". Lineage: Eukaryota; Viridiplantae; Streptophyta; Magnoliopsida; Poales; Poaceae. The record is from RNAcentral.